GUUAGUAUAAAUUUAGAUUUAGUAAAAAAUCAUCAGCUGCAGUUGCGUUAACACCCCGCUAUUACAUUCUUUCUAAAUAGUUAAAAGUAAACAAAACAUAAUAAAUUCAAACAUGAAGAGAUCGAAGAUGAAAAGUGAAAUUGGUGUAUCAGUGGCUUAUACGUGCUGCAUAAGCAUCCUAAUCUCCAAUUCUUCAGUUUGCUAGCUCGACUUGAUUUAUCCGGAACUUGCCGGAUCGCUCGGAGGAUGAUGCGAUACAGUUUCAGAAUGUUUCAUGAUUUUUUCUUCUGAUACUGUUGUAUCGUCGAGUUUGGUUUAUAUGCAACAAAUAGUUUCCUGUUUGUAAAUUAUUAAAAAAAAAUUAGGUUCAAUUUAAACGUGAACAAAUCGAAGAUGAAAAGCGAAAAUGCUGUAUCACUUUAAUCAAAUAUAAACUUUGUGAACCUGAAA
Molecule: long non-coding RNA, 450 nt
Organism: Toxorhynchites rutilus septentrionalis
Lineage: Eukaryota; Metazoa; Arthropoda; Insecta; Diptera; Culicidae
Exons: 2
Source: RefSeq, a predicted model, not a curated record